ACUGUCGUCCGUAGAAGUACAUAGAAUGUUGCAAAAGCGCCAGCAGAAAAAAGGAGAGUCGCUUUAGAAAUUGCAGCAACGAGAAUCGUCAUUCAUCUGUCAAUACAAAUACGCAAAGCAAACAAUUUUUUAAAACUCAGUAUAGUGUGAAACUGUUAUCAAAAUAAGACGUAACACGAGUGGUGGUACUUUUGUAAGAUAUUUUUACAGGAAAAUGGGUAAAAUUCAGUAAAAAAUAGAUAAAUACAAAGUUCCCCAAUAUAUUUUCGGCGGCUUGCUCAUUCCCAUCAUUCGCAAUCAGAAGUCAUUUAACAGGCCACCACUCUUUGGCAAUCUUUCCUUAUUUCCAGCCGUAAUGCACAUAUCCGAAGAAGGCGCCAAGAGAUAGGCACCGCCCAGCAAUAGCGAAGAAUGAAAAUACAUUGACGAUUUAUU
Molecule: long non-coding RNA, 435 nt
Organism: Drosophila miranda
Lineage: Eukaryota; Metazoa; Arthropoda; Insecta; Diptera; Drosophilidae
Exons: 2
Source: RefSeq, a predicted model, not a curated record